AGGCGUUUCGUGCACAUCCUUUCCCAGGCAAGCAUCGCCCACACUCUUCCGUGGUGCCGCUUGCUACAGUGAGAACUGCCGCCGCAGUCACCGUCGCGAGACCGGCCCACCCCAGCAUCGUCGCCAUUCGCCUCAGGUUCCC
RNAcentral lists this non-coding RNA (142 nucleotides) under Ochromonas sp. CCMP1393. Lineage: Eukaryota; Chrysophyceae; Chromulinales; Chromulinaceae. The record is from RNAcentral.